UGGGGAAUAUUGCACAAUGGGCGAAAGCCUGAUGCAGCGACGCCGCGUGAGGGAUGACGGCCUUCGGGUUGUAAACCUCUUUCAGCAGGGAAGAAGCGCAAGUGACGGUACCUGCAGAAGAAGCACCGGCUAACUACGUGCCAGCAGCCGCGGUAAUACGUAGGGUGCGAGCGUUGUCCGGAAUUAUUGGGCGUAAAGAGCUUGUAGGCGGUUUGUCGCGUCUGCUGUGAAAAUCCGGGGCUCAACCCCGGACUUGCAGUGGGUACGGGCAGGCUAGAGUGUGGUAGGGGAGACUGGAAUUCCUGGUGUAGCGGUGGAAUGCGCAGAUAUCAGGAGGAACACCGAUGGCGAAGGCAGGUCUCUGGGCCACUACUGACGCUGAGAAGCGAAAGCAUGGGGAGCGAACAGGAUUAGAUACC
Molecule: ribosomal RNA, 419 nt
Filed under: uncultured bacterium
Lineage: Bacteria
Description: bacterial SSU rRNA
Rfam family: Bacterial small subunit ribosomal RNA
Source: RNAcentral